AUGAACGCUAGCGACAGGCUAACACAUGCAAGUCGAGGGGUAACAGGGUAGCAAUACCGCUGACGACCGGCGCACGGGUGAGUAACGCGUAUGCAACCUGCCUAUAACUGGGGAAUAGCUCCCUGAAAGGGGGAAUUAACACCGCAUAACACUAUUGAUCGCAUGGAUUGGUAGUUAAAUGUAGCGAUACAGGUUAUAGAUGGGCAUGCGUGACAUUAGCUAGUUGGUGAGGUAACGGCUCACCAAGGCUACGAUGUCUAGGGGUUCUGAGAGGAAGGUCCCCCCACACUGGUACUGAGACACGGACCAGACUCCUACGGGAGGCAGCAGUGAGGAAUAUUGGUCAAUGGGCGCAAGCCUGAACCAGCCAUGUCGCGUGCAGGAAGAACUGCCCUAUGGGUUGUAAACUGCUUUUAUAGUAGAAGAAACACAUCUACGCGUAGAUGUCUGCCAGUAUACUAUGAAUAAGCAUCGGCUAACUCCGUGCCAGCCGCGGC
RNAcentral lists this ribosomal RNA (497 nucleotides) under uncultured bacterium. RNAcentral's name for it is "bacterial SSU rRNA". It matches the Rfam family "Bacterial small subunit ribosomal RNA", at positions 29 to 518 of the family's 1533-position model. The record is from RNAcentral.